This is a long non-coding RNA of Equus caballus (horse), 1767 nucleotides long. The record is from Ensembl. NCBI's taxonomy places the organism in Eukaryota, Metazoa, Chordata, Mammalia, Perissodactyla, Equidae.
UCCCUUUCUCUGGGACCAUACGCCAGGCACCUAUUACUGUCAGGUAAUGGCUCCCUUUCUCUGGGACCAUUCACCAGGCACCUAUUCCUGCCAGGCAGAAUAGGGAAGAUGUUCAAGGGAUGCCCCCAUCAUCCCUUGCUACAGGAACCCCAUUGGGGGGAUUUUCAUGGUAAUGGCCCCUUUUCUUUCUCCUUUUCUCUCGGGAACCAUUCACCAGGCCUAUGCUGUCAGGCAGAAUAGGCACCAGGCAACUGUUACUGCCAGGCAUAACAGGGAAGGUAUACAAGGGAUGCAAUGCCGGGGGACGCCCCCAUCACCCCUUGCUAUAGGAACCCCACAGUAGGAACAACGGGUAGGACGCUACCCUAGGUUCAGGGGGGAUUUUUCAUGGUAAUGGACCCGUUUCUUUUGUCUCUCUUGGAGUUACAAUGGCAAUUUUCAUCUCCUUUUGAGCCUUGUGACUGGGAAACAAAGAAAUCUUUAAAGAGUAAAAGGCUCCACCCCUGGGAGCCCCAACUUUGGGUUUCUGGGCCUGAUCACCCCAGCAACCCUAAGUGGGGGUGCCCUCUCUUGACAGUCGACUCAUUGAGUAUUUUAGUCACCUGCUGAGUCGGUUAUGAGGGUAGGAGACCUGUGAUUUAUUCUGUGAACUGUCGUGCUAGCGUAGUGUGCCCCAGUACAGGAACUGUUGUGUGACUCUUAUCUUGAUAACCCUCUGGAAGAGGCCAUGAGGGUGAGGUCUGAUCUCUUCUUUUCCUUUCUUUGUCUGUUUUGCUCAUCAUCUCUUCUGUUGUCACUAAGUCAAGGUUAAGUUCAGGCUAGACCUGAGCAGAGCCUUGACCUUCUGUAAAAUUGGAAAAAUAAGCCUUUUGCCAGGGAUUUAACUCUCAAACCUGGCUCUGGGAGCCCCAUCCUCCAGCCAGUUCCAGGCCUUUGCCUCCUGCUUCCCUACCUCAACUUUGCUGGCUCAGAGACAAAGUGCCCAGGCUGAGCGGGACUUGACUAAAUCUUAUAACUACGUCCACACCCGCAAUCGGCCUCUGCACACCCACAAUCGGCCUCUGUACCCUUUCUCCAGCUGCUGUCAGUCAGACACUGGCUUUACCGCCACGUGGAAGGCUCCUAAGUAUCCCCAGAGACCCACCCUGUGGAUGCAUUCUAACUCCAUCUGGGAGAAAAUUUGAGGGGUUUCUCUGUGCCUUUGUGAUGCAGUUGGACAGGUAGAUCAACCUGGAAUGUAAUUUGAGUUACAAUCCAGUUUCUGGGAAAUCAAGAGCAACUGUCCUUAGAAAAUCCUUGCAAGACUGGAAAUACAGCUCUAGAGGCAGUUCAGAUUCCACCUAGUUCCUUUAUCACGAAAAGGAUUAUCAUCUCCCCUCUCCAGGAACUACUAUCUAGCCCAUCACUAAUUCCUAAAACUGAAGAAAAAAAGAAAGAAAGAAAGAAAGAAAGAAAGAGGAGGGGAGAGGCAAAACGGCCAUAAGCGUGCCCUUGCAAAAAAUCUAGCAUCUUGAGUAUCUUCUCCACAAAUAUUGUUUCACCUCCUGGACCACCACUCGUCAAAUGAUUCUCUCGUCCCCAGAGGCUCUGGAUGCCUUGUCAGCCUUGGACUCCACGGGUGCAGUCUUCCGGUCCGCUGAACCCCCUACCUAUACCUAUGGCCCCAUUUAGGGACAGCUCUACGACCUUGUACAGCCGGAAGUAGUUACAGAAGACUGACCGUCGUCCAUAUCCCCAAAAGAUUUCGGGGCCAAAUGGGUUCAGGGG